AGAUAAAAUUACACGAGAUGUGAAUAUAUAUAAGCUAAUUACAAUCUAUUAUAAUUAGCUUAUAUAUAUUCACAUCUCGUGUAAUU
This 86-nucleotide microRNA precursor is filed under the name Paramuricea clavata. Lineage: Eukaryota; Metazoa; Cnidaria; Anthozoa; Malacalcyonacea; Plexauridae. The record is from RNAcentral.